GCAUGUCUAGUAUAAGCAAUUAUACCGCGAAACUGCGAAUGGCUCAUUAUAUAAGUUAUCGUUUAUUUGAUAGUACCUUACUACUUGGAUAACCGUGGUAAUUCUAGAGCUAAUACAUGCUAAAAAUCCCGACUUCGGAAGGGAUGUAUUUAUUAGAUUAAAAACCAAUGCCCUUCGGGGCUCACUGGUGAUUCAUGAUAACUCCUCGAAUCGCAUGGCCUUGUGCCGGCGAUGGUUCAUUCAAAUUUCUUCCCUAUCAACUUUCGAUGUUUGGGUAUUGGCCAAACAUGGUUGCAACGGGUAACGGAGGGUUAGGGCUCGACCCCGGAGAAGGAGCCUGAGAAACGGCUACUACAUCCAAGGAAGGCAGCAGGCGCGCAAAUUACCCAAUCCCGACACGGGGAGGUAGUGACAAUAAAUACUGAUACAGGGCUCUUUUGGGUCUUGUAAUUGGAAUGAGUACAAUUUAAAUCCCUUAACGAGGAACAAUUGGAGGGCAAGUCUGGUGCC
This 510-nucleotide ribosomal RNA is filed under the name Fusarium oxysporum. RNAcentral's name for it is "SSU rRNA". It matches the Rfam family "Eukaryotic small subunit ribosomal RNA", at positions 53 to 568 of the family's 1831-position model. Lineage: Eukaryota; Fungi; Ascomycota; Sordariomycetes; Hypocreales; Nectriaceae. The record is from RNAcentral.